This is a long non-coding RNA of Cyprinus carpio carpio, 4426 nucleotides long. The record is from Ensembl. Lineage: Eukaryota; Metazoa; Chordata; Actinopteri; Cypriniformes; Cyprinidae.
AUUAAAACUCAUGAGCAUAAUUCAUGGAGUCUUAAUGAAUCAGACAAACCUGUCAGUGACCAAAUGAAGUCUCAUUCACAGCCUUACAGACUACAGUAUACUGAUCAUCAGAUGCAUGAUUUGUCACUGUAGUUUCCAGUAUUUUCCCUUGUUAGAUAUGUCAGUUAUGAGCAUAUUAAGUGUUUUUUUAAAAUGAUUUUUAUCUUCAGAAAGCCCAAAUAUUUGGUAUUACUUGUGUUCUCAUUUGUCUUGGUAAUUAAGGUGUUUAAGAGCACCAUUGUCUUAAAUGCAUCAUCGACUACUUGUUACGUGUUUAUGAUUUGUUUUGUGAGCUCCAAGUCAUAAAGAUCUGCAUUGUCAUUGUGUGAAGAAGUUAUACAACUGACACUUUAUGUUGUGCUAAAAAGUCAAUAAAAACUAUAAAGAGAAUGUACAGUGAUACCCUGCUGAUUUUGUAAGUUUGCCCACUUACAAAGAAAUGAAGGGUCUGUCAUUUUUAUGGUAGGUUUAUUUUAACAGAUAGAGAGAGAAUACCAACCAAAAAAUCCAGAAAAUACACAUGAUAUAAAGGUUAGAAAUUGAUUUGCAUUUCAGUGAGUGAAAUAAGUAUUUUAUCCCCAAGCAAAACAUGACUUGACAACAAACUUUGUUGGCAAGCACAGAGGUAAGACGUUUUUUUGUAGUAGGUCACCAGGUUUGCACACAUCUCAGGAGGGAUUUUGAUCCACUCCUCUUUACAGAUCCUCUAUAAAUUCUUAAAGGGGUCAUAUGAUAUUACAUGCACUUUUAUAAGUUGUUUGAACUGAAAUGUGUGUUGGCAGUGUGUGUACACAACCACCUUAAAAUUAUAAAAAUCCACCCAGUGUGUUUUUUUAAUCUGUUCAACUCUUUAAUCCUGUGUGACGUCACAAAAACAGGCCCCUCCCACGAUAGUUUGUUUGACAGUAGCGUUUCAGCACAGACUGGACUGGCGUCUUACCUUAGACCCGCCCUGAGUGAGCUGUCAUCAGUCCACCAAUGUUUCACCGCAGGAGCGGAUGUAGACAAGAAUGUCUCCUUAGUGAUUGAGCAGUCGUCAUUUCCUCCAGACCGCUGAAGACGCAACGUUACGUUUGUUUUUGGAGAGAAUGCGCCCCCAAUCUACAUAAGUGAGUGAGUGACUAUAUAUAUAAUUUGGAUAAUUGGUCCCAUAAAAGUUAUAUAUGAUUCUGUUGCAUAAAAAUAAUACAAUGAUAUUUAAUAUCAAUAUAUUUUCUGUCCAAUUUUAUUGGGUUUUUUUAGUAAUGGUGUGGUCAUUUUAUUGGCUUGUGUUUUUUUAAAAUCAGUGUCAUUAAAAUUAUUGAGUUAAGUUAAAAAGUCUUACAAAAUUACUUUAUAUUAUUUAAUAAAAUAAUUAUUACAAAGCAGUUUAAAGGGGUCAUAUGGUGCUGCUAAAAAGAACAUUAUUUUGUGUAUUUGGUGUAAUGAAAGGUGUUUAUGCGGUUUAAGGUUAAAAAAACAUUAUUUUCCACAUAUUGUUUCUCCUCUAUGCCCCGCCUUCUGAAACAUGUCGAUUUUUACAAGAAUCAUCGCUUUGAAAAGCAAGGUGUGCUGUGAUUGGCCAGCUAUCCAGCGUGUUGUGAUUGGCCGAAUGCCUCAAGCGUGUGAUGGAAAUGUUACGCCUCUUAACAUAUUGUGAUGCCUUGUCCGGCCGGAGCGACGAGACAUAAACAUAAAACCCAUUAUAAACUCAGCGAUCCACAGUGCAAAGUUGAUAUAUUUCCUCAGCGAACAGCACAGAUCAGCUCCAGGCAUGACGAAGCGCAUAUUGUCCUCUUUUGGAAGGCCAAACAAAGUAGUUUUGCUUUCACAGUGAAACACACCGCGUCUAUACGACAUGGCAGCAGUGGCGACAACAACAAUACUACAACAAGAGUAAAAGGUACGCCUUCUUUCUUUGCGUGAACAUCUGGGUGGCGUUAUGCAAAUCUUUCCACAUAGUGACGUAGAGAUGUGGGGGCAUGUUAGAACGAGCCGUUUCAGGGUGGCGUGGACGAGUCUUAACUUUUAUAAAGAAUAUCUCUUUGGGUUUGAGACUUUAGUCUUUGCAACUUCACAGAUCUUUUUUAUUCACCAAGAGCUUGUAACACUCCAAAGAGAAAGGAAAAUUUUAAAUUGCAUAAUAUGACCCCUUUCAUUUUUCUGUCAGGUGCAUACAAAAUUUUAAUUUUUUUUUAUUUUUCAUUUCAGUGCAUCCCUAUAAAGUCUUAAUAUAUUAUUAUAUCUUAAUGUAUCAGCCAUUUGUGGUUAAUUAAGAAAUUCUAUUCUAUUCUUUUUCAGAUUGUCAGAAUCCUGUUCUCGUGUAGAGGCAGUUCUUUUUUCCAUUGAAACUGGUGUUAAGAUGCGAGAUACAGCCUCCUGCACAAUGGAAAAGUGCAAGUGACUGAUGCCAGCACAUGUACAAAAGGUGUAUACAUGUACUUUACAUAGUACUGUUUUGUAUCCUACUCUACUAUGGGAAAUGACAGCAUCUGUGGAUAAUAGUAAAUAACUGUUAACACUGUGAACAUUUACUGUGAAUUUUAGUGCCCACACUGCAAGCAAGACAAAGUUAACCUGCGCCUGUGUGCUGGAGACAAGGGAUUCUGUUUUAUCAAAGAUGGGGAUGAGAUAACACUGGACUGGAGCCAUGCUUACUACUACCAAGUCCAGGCACAGCUUCACAUUGUGCAAUUUUCUACUGUGGAACUCUAAUGACAUUUUUUUUUGGAAAGGAUUAUACCUGACAUGGGCUUUUGGGAUGAUGUGAUUGCCAGAGUUGAGAUUUUUUUCAGAAACUGUAUACUUCCUGAAGUGUUGGGACAGAAAGUUACAAAACAACAUAUUGACAUGUAAUAUUAUUAAAGGACACUACCUUACAUCAGCUCAGGCACUUGAUUCAGUCAUAUUUUGCAAAAGAAAAACACUGAAUAACAUGAAUGUAUCUUUGUUGGCAAGCAGAUGUUUGCUGAGGAGAUUAAAUAAAAAAAAGAUUAAAUUCUACAACAAAAAAGUAUUGGUGGUUACUUAAAAGAACUAAAACAGUGUGCACUUUGUAAAUUAUACUGAAUUUAAUAUGUCUGAAGGUAAAUUCAAAAAAAGCUACUGUGGCACAUGGCAGAGCACUGUUCUGCUAUAUAUAUUUGUCCACUGAGGCUAGAUCAAUUGUCCUUCAUCAACUAACCCAACUUAUUACAGCUAAUUUGGUAUUUAUUUGUUUGUGGGGAACUUUACAUGACACCACAGUAGCUUUUGAUUGAAUUUAGCCCUUAGGUUAUAUACAAAAUUCACUAAAAACACAGUGUACUGUUAUGCUAUCAUGUAGUCUACCAAAGUAUUAUAUAUCAUUUAUCAUUAACAUCCAAAGUUUAUUCAUUUAAUGACCAUUUCAAAUCAUGACAUUUAUAUUCAAAACUCUACAUCCAAACGCUUGCCUGAAUGGCACUGGCAUUGUGGCUUGAAGUACAUGUCACUCUGGCAACUCAAUUAAAAACUCCAAUCUCUCAUGAAGUAUGCCAAUUAACUUGUGCCAAAUUCUGGAAACAGUGGAGUAAGAGACAUUGAACAUGAAAGCCAAAUCUUUCAGAGGAAGGUUUAGUCUCAAUCUCAUCAAAAUUACAAUUAACUGUUCAAAUUUAGAAAGCACAGACAAAUAUCCACAGGUGAUAUAAGGCUCACACAGCUGAAAAAUCUGCAUUAAAACCAAAAAGUUAGGGAGUCCAGUGUAAAACUUUGUCAAGUCUUCGUUCUUCUGAAAAGACUCUUGGCUGAAUUGGAUGUCAAGUGCUUUAGUUCUAAGAUCACCCAGUGUGGUGUUGUGGUGUGUUUGAGAACAUCUUUCAUCCUCUCAAUGCCAUCCAUGGUUAGGUCUGUCUGGCAUUCUGCAUCUGCAUAAAAUAUAUAGCAGUAGGGAGAGGGAUUAGUUAUUCAAAUUACAAUCCAUAUCAAUAAUGACAUGAAUUGUUGUCUAUUUCUACUACUUAGUACAACGUUUAAACAAAGUUUAGUUAUCUGUUCCAAAUUAUCUGGAAACUCAUAGAAAAUAACCGAAACAAUCCAAGGUUUUUAUUUAGCACAGUGGCUAGAUUAACAAAUAACCAGAUGCCAGCCGAUCUAAAUAUCCCCUCACAGUUUAAUAGUAAUGACUUUAUGAAUUUCUUCACUCAUAAAAUAGAUAACAUCAGAAAUACAAUAACAAAUGUAGAUUCUACAGCAUCUAAUACUUCAGCUUCAUUCAUCGCACCCAAAGAAAAACUGCAGUGCUUUACAACUAUAGGACAGGAAGAGCUAAAUAAACUUAUCACUACAUCUAAACCAACAUGUUUUUUAGAUCCUGUACCCACUAAAUUCGUUAUCUUUAGGUUACGUCCCAAAACCAUUCAAGCUGGCGGUUAUUAAGCCUCAUUAA